RNAcentral lists this transfer RNA (53 nucleotides) under Burkholderia pseudomallei 1258b. Its description in RNAcentral is "partial tRNA-Asn". It matches the Rfam family "tRNA", at positions 1 to 51 of the family's 71-position model. Rfam says of the family: Transfer RNA (tRNA) molecules are approximately 80 nucleotides in length. Their secondary structure includes four short double-helical elements and three loops (D, anti-codon, and T loops). Further hydrogen bonds mediate the characteristic L-shaped molecular structure. tRNAs have two regions of fundamental functional importance: the anti-codon, which is responsible for specific mRNA codon recognition, and the 3' end, to which the tRNAs corresponding amino acid is attached (by aminoacyl-tRNA synthetases). tRNAs cope with the degeneracy of the genetic code in two manners: having more than one tRNA (with a specific anti-codon) for a particular amino acid; and 'wobble' base-pairing, i.e. permitting non-standard base-pairing at the 3rd anti-codon position. Lineage: Bacteria; Pseudomonadati; Pseudomonadota; Betaproteobacteria; Burkholderiales; Burkholderiaceae. The record is from RNAcentral.
UCCCCGAUAGCUCAGUCGGUAGAGCGCCGGACUGUUAAUCCGUAGGUCCCUGG